GUGGGACUGCUAGACUACAAGGUACUUCGAGUUGUCAUUGUUCACAGGGACUAUGUGCAGCUUCCUGUACAGGAGGUCACUACUGAACAAGGAGGAGGAAGGCUCCCUUGAGGAAGCAAAAAAAGACUAAACAUUCAGGCUGACCUUUUGGGCUAACCUUAUGGCUUUCCAAACAGACUCGGCACUUGGCUGUUGUGAGUCAUAUUCCUGAGCCCUCAUUUCUUUGUCCACAAGCUAGGAAAGAUCAUGGAAGGUGUCUAGCCGUCUGUCAGUGCAGGAUGAAGACUCCCAAGGAAAGUUUUUUCCCUCUCUGCUCUCACACCAAGGGCAGCAGCUUCUUAGGGUGAGGGAAUGGUGAACACAUUAGGCUAGAGGCUUAAUAGAUGAAACCUCAAACCAAUAGAAAUAGUAGUUUCCUGCUCCACCCUCUGUAAAUACUGUGUUCUUGGAACAAAGUCUUUCCAAGAAGAUCCUUGUGUGGCCAUUCUCACCUGUGUGAAUAGGAGCCAGCACUCACUCUUCCUGAGGCUUUGCUGGAGGUUCCUGCCUGCAAGGAGGCCUGCUUCUCACAAUGGAAGCCCUGCAGGACAGCCUCACCGUAAUCCUUGUCAUCUGGGUGACCUCAUGCAAUGCAUACUGCUAUAUAUAUAGAUUUCUUCCAGGUCAACCAUCUGAUGAAUGCGUGGAUCUUGAUAAUGACAAACACCCCAUCAACUCUUACUGGGAGAAGAACUGUGAGCGCUGUGUUUGUAGAAAAGACAAGAUUUCUUGCUGCAGGCUACAGAACUUACAUGGCUGAGUACUUCAAGCAAAUGGAUUGCCAGGUAAUAUUCCACCCAGGGACCUGCACCUACACUGUGGAACAGAAAGACCCACAAAAGCCCUGUUUUAACUAAGUAGACACUGUGAACAUACUUCUGCUGGGCUCAGCACUCCCAGCCUGAAGGAUAUUUGUAAGCCAG
RNAcentral lists this long non-coding RNA (962 nucleotides) under Cricetulus griseus (Chinese hamster). RNAcentral's name for it is "lncRNA (ENSCGRG00015029866.1)". Lineage: Eukaryota; Metazoa; Chordata; Mammalia; Rodentia; Cricetidae. The record is from RNAcentral.